UACGUGGGGGGUAAGCGUUGUUCGGAAUUACUGGGCGUAAAGGGCUCGUAGGCGGCCAACUAAGUCAGACGUGAAAUCCCUCAGCUUAACUGGGGAACUGCGUCUGAUACUGGAUGGCUUGGAUUCGGGAGAGGAAUGCGGAAUUCCAGGUGUAGCGGUGAAAUGCGUAGAUAUCUGGAGGAACACCGGUGGCGAAGGCGGCAUUCUGGACCGAUAUUGACGCUGAGGAGCGAAAGCCAGGGGAGCAAACGGG
RNAcentral lists this ribosomal RNA (253 nucleotides) under uncultured bacterium. RNAcentral's name for it is "partial 16S ribosomal RNA". It matches the Rfam family "Bacterial small subunit ribosomal RNA", at positions 524 to 776 of the family's 1533-position model. The record is from RNAcentral.